GAUGAAGAACGCAGCGAAAUGCGAUACGAAGUGUGAAUUGCAGAAUUCAGUGAAUCAUCGAAUCUUUGAACGCACAUUGCACCUCUCGGUAUUCCGGGAGGUAUGCCUGUUCGAGCGUCAUUUGUACCCUCAAGCUCUGCUUGGUGUUGGGUGUUUGUUCCGCCUCUGUGUGUGAACUCGCCUCAAAACAAUUGGCAGCCGGCGUACUUGUUUCGGAGCGCAGCACAUUUUGCGAUCCAGAUCAACGUACAGCGGCAUCCAAGAAGCCUUAUUUAACGCUCUUGACCUCGGAUCAGGUAGGGAUACCCGCUGAACUUAAGCAUAUCAAUAAGCGGAGGA
This 339-nucleotide unclassified non-coding RNA is filed under the name soil metagenome. RNAcentral's name for it is "partial contains 5.8S ribosomal RNA, internal transcribed spacer 2, and large subunit ribosomal RNA". The stretch from base 1 to 120 matches the Rfam family "5.8S ribosomal RNA", at positions 35 to 154 of the family's 154-position model. The record is from RNAcentral.